GAUGAACGCUGGCGGCGUGCCUAAUACAUGCAAGUAGAACGCUGAAGGAGGAGCUUGCUCUUCUGGAUGAGUUGCGAACGGGUGAGUAACGCGUAGGUAACCUGCCUGGUAGCGGGGGAUAACUAUUGGAAACGAUAGCUAAUACCGCAUGACAACAGUUAUUGCAUGAUAACUGUUUAAAAGGGGCAACUGCUCCACUACCAGAUGGACCUGCGUUGUAUUAGCUAGUUGGUGAGGUAACGGCUCACCAAGGCGACGAUACAUAGCCGACCUGAGAGGGUGAUCGGCCACACUGGGACUGAGACACGGCCCGGACUCCUACGGGAGGCAGCAGUAGGGAAUCUUCGGCAAUGGACGGAAGUCUGACCGAGCAACGCCGCGUGAGUGAAGAAGGUUUUCGGAUCGUAAAGCUCUGUUGUAAGAGAAGAACGAGUGUGAGAGUGGAAAGUUCACACUGUGACGGUAGCUUACCAGAAAGGGACGGCUAACUACGUG
RNAcentral lists this ribosomal RNA (495 nucleotides) under uncultured bacterium. RNAcentral describes it as "partial 16S ribosomal RNA". It matches the Rfam family "Bacterial small subunit ribosomal RNA", at positions 28 to 507 of the family's 1533-position model. The record is from RNAcentral.